This 484-nucleotide ribosomal RNA is filed under the name uncultured bacterium. Its description in RNAcentral is "partial 16S ribosomal RNA". It matches the Rfam family "Bacterial small subunit ribosomal RNA", at positions 30 to 507 of the family's 1533-position model. The record is from RNAcentral.
AUUGAACGCUGGCGGCAGGCCUAACACAUGCAAGUCGAGCGGAUGAAGGGAGCUUGCUCCUGGAUGCAGCGGCGGACGGGUGAGUAAUGCCUAGGAAUCUGCCUGGUAGGGGGGGAUAACGUCCGGAAACGGGCGCUAAUACCGCAUACGUCCUGAGGGUGAAAGUGGGGGAUCUUCGGACCUCACGCUAUCAGAUGAGCAUAGGUCGGAUUAGCUAGUUGGUGGGGUAAAGGCCUACAAAGGCGACGAUCCGUAACUGGUCUGAGAGGAUGAUCAGUCACACUGGAACUGAGACACGGUCCAGACUCCUACGGGAGGCAGCAGUGGGGAAUAUUGGACGAUGGGCGAAAGCCUGAUCCAGCCAUGCCGCGUGUGUGAAGAAGGUCUUCGGAUUGUAGAGCACUUUAAGUUGGGAGGAAGGGCAGUAAGUUAAUCCCUUGCUGUUUUGACGGUACCAACAGAAUAAGCACCGGCUAACUUCGUG